Molecule: non-coding RNA, 120 nt
Organism: Rhexocercosporidium sp. MPI-PUGE-AT-0058
Lineage: Eukaryota; Fungi; Ascomycota; Leotiomycetes; Helotiales
Source: the annotation of a GenBank genome assembly
GCGUUUGUGGUUUAGUGGUAAAAUCCAUCGUUGCCAAAAAGACGAUCUUCUACCUACUUACCUAGGUAGGUAGAUUGUUCCAGUUUCGAUGGGCCCCGGGUUCGAUUCCCGGCGAACGCA